This is a long non-coding RNA of Scylla paramamosain (green mud crab), 1128 nucleotides long. RefSeq lists it as uncharacterized. The transcript is spliced from 3 exons. The record is from RefSeq and is a predicted model, not a curated record. Lineage: Eukaryota; Metazoa; Arthropoda; Malacostraca; Decapoda; Portunidae.
CGAACAUGAAUGAGAGAGAGGGAUGGUAAAGGACCCAGCCAACUGCCGGGCAUUACACCGCGCAGGCGCCGGACUCGAGAGUUCCCACCCACAAGCCUUCCGUUUCCCCGGCAGCAGUCCAAGAGUGAGCAGGACCCAGUGGUGUUGAGUGGAACUGGUAUGUCUCCAAGGACGAAAAUUAUUCUUCUGGUGCAGUGGCUAAUGCAUCUGCUGGCUACGACUCUUGGACCUUGGUUCGAAUCCUGACUAGGGCAGUCGGUCCAGUUGUUCAUCUGUCCUUAGGGUUUUCCGACAACUGGGUACCUAGGGAAACCCGGAUGUCACAGUGGUCCUACAUCCUAAGGAUCAGUCUGACAAUGAGAUGAUGUAGAAAUGAAGGAAGUAAUCCAUCUGAAUCCAUUUGAGAACCAUGAAGGCCUCUUAGGUCUUGCUUGGAGUAUGUAGUCGCAGGUAAAGGCCACUCCACAUACCGUUCUUUGGUAUGUAGUGAGAGAACAAACAACCUUAGCAAACUUAGAUACUAAACCAUGCAGUUAUCGCAUCACAAGUUCUCUCCCGUAUCAAUCAUAUUACACAGGCUUGGUACAGUCGCGUUCAAAAGUUGUCACGCGACCCGCUUCGUCGCCAUGAUGAAUGUUAACCAGCUCAGAUUUCUCCUCCAUCACCGGCACUUUGCAAUCCUCUCAUGAUGACACGUCGUUGUUCAAAACCUUUUAACCUGAGCUGGUUACGCUUCAUCAUAACCUAUGACUGUACAUAGUAAGCAGUGAGUAGUGAGACUGUACAUAGUAAGCAGCGAGUAGUAAUCCUUGCCGAUUAAGUUUAAAGAAACCUUAGCCUUAGCCUCAGUGUUACUUCUCACUUCUGGUUAGAAAGAAUUAAAGCUGAGAUUUUAAUGUAGGUUGCUGGUUGGUGCGAGUUUGUAAAUGGCUUUAGUCUCUAAACUUUUUUUUUACUCUAUGGGUCCAUAUAAUCUAAAGGUGUGCUGGAUGACCCUUGAAGAUAAGAAGCAAUAACGGAAGAUGCUUGCACUUGCGCAGUGUUUUCUAGAUGAAGUGAAUGAUAGGGAAUUGAGGAAGGGCAUGGGAUUCGAUACGAACGCGAAUUAAAUGCGGACUAAAAAAGCAA